Molecule: long non-coding RNA, 1423 nt
Organism: Vulpes vulpes (red fox)
Lineage: Eukaryota; Metazoa; Chordata; Mammalia; Carnivora; Canidae
Source: Ensembl
UAAAAGGAUGAAUGUUUUUUAUAGGUCCAAAUCACAAAAUUAUUGCUUAAAAAAAUCAGGAAAGCCAAAAGAAGAGUAAACGACUAGAACAUAUCACUAACUGUCCUUACUCUUUAUUUCAUGCCAUAGGACCUUGAAGGAAUAACAGAACUGCUUUCCUCAGCUCUAUCCUUUCUGCUCAUUUCCUGUCAUCCAACAUGUGACUUUUCGGUGGUGGUCUCCAGCUCUCUUCACAUACGGCUGCUAGAUCAAGAGACUGACAUGAUCUAGACAUCUAUGAAGUAAAAAGCAUCCAAGACCCACUCCCUGGGGAACUGUGUGCUAAGGAGGAUACAAAGAAAAGAUGGGAGCUCAGUGGGGAUCUCUGAUCAGAGCUCCCUGUUCAUUGCAUGUAUGUGGAAGGUUCUAGAAUGAACAGGAGUGCUUCUGAGUGACCCUGAGUGAAUGUGGAUUCCAAUGGUGAUAAUAGACUUUUCUUAUUUCUUUGUCAUCUCCGUUUAUAGAGUGAAUCAAAACCCUUGGCCCUAAAUGAAAACUGGCCUUCUGCGAAGUAGGGAAGGAGGCAGGAUUCUCUGCCUUACUGCUUUCUAUCUCCAUCAUCUCCCGCCAACAGACUGCCUGGAACUUCCAUUCCUGAAAUUUCACUCAAGAGAUAUGCUGCUUGCGAUAACAGUGUGUCAAAGAAGACAGCCUUUUACACCCAGUCCUUGGGUGACCUCAGAUUCAGGAGACAUACCCACCCGCCCAUCAUUUUAGAGAGAAGGCUCCUGGGAGGCAAGAUCCCUUUCUUGUCUGUGGUGACCGCUCAGUGCUCGCCACAGAGCCCGAUGAUGGGGUGGGGAGUCUGGCCACAUGGCCUUGGGGGGGGCAGUGGGGAAGAGCUAAUGCUGGAGGGGGGGCCAGGCCUGCUGUUGCUCUUAUUUAUUAUUUCACUGAACUACUGCUGAGUGACAAAGGCUCUUUGCAAUCUAGCAGACUGGCAUCCGUGGAACAUAUUUUUAACAUGAAUCGCCAAAGAAAUAACAGAAAUAUGAAAUGGCUAAUUAAACAGCCAUUUCACAAAGGUCCCGUCUGAUGACAAGUUUUUUUGAUCAGUCUGUUUGCUAAUUUCCAAGUGGAAUGAAUCAGAGUCCGUCAAUCCAGGACUCAAAGCCGACGUUGGGGAUGGAAGGGGGCAGAGAGAGAAGCUGUAAGACUGAACUGUUGACUAUACCUCACUGCAUUCAUAAUGUUUGACUGAGUUCACUAUAUUUUGGAAAGUUCUGGGUGGCAUCUCAGUUUUUGGUGGGACGUGUGGGCCCAUAGUCACAUAGUGAGUGAUUCUAGCCUAUUUAUUAUAUGUGCUGCCGAAGCAAGCACAGAUUCUAGCCUAUUCUAAGACUAAAAUAUUCCCUGCUUAAUAUAAAACUCAAGACCCUUAGCA